ACAAAAACAAAACAAAACAAAACAAAACAGUAUCUCAUGUUUCUUAUUGGCUGUGACCAAGUAACUUCAUUGCUUUCAACCUUGGAUCUGCUCACCUGUAGAACUGAGACAUUAUUUGUUGUGAGAUUUAAAAAAGAAACAUGUUCAUUUCCUUCCUUUGGGGCUCGGAAGGAAUCAGAUGGGCGUCUUGCAGCUCCGAUCCUGAUGAAGAAUUGUAGCUGCUGUGCCUCAAGACAGAUAAGCACAGGUCGUCCCAGAGGGGAUGCCACCUUGGGGACUGUGAACCUCCGCUGAGGCCAGGCCAUGCCCUGCCCUGUGUCUGUAUCUGGAACUGCGGGAUUUCUCUGAUCUGCCAGGGAAAGGCCUGCCACCUCGUGGCCACUUCAGGAACUGCUCCAAAGGCAGUCUGCUCUUGGGAACCUACCUGGUCAGGUAGCUCCUUGAGGUCUGGAACUGCACCACAGUGCAAGUUAUCUUCACGUGGAGGUGAAGCUGCCUGUAUGGAAGACUCUUGGAUCAGUCGUCUGAGCACAUGUCCAGCAAUGGGCAUGGGUGGGCUAGCCAGGGACUGGGGGUGCCGGAAGAGCCGACUGUACAGCACGUGGUGCCCCUAACAAGGAUUGAGUGGUGUUUUUAAAAAGAAAAAAAGGUCGUGCAGAUGGUCUGACAGUCUGUCGACCGUGGGCGCGGUGCUCAUAGCAGCUGAGCACUGCCGGGGUACCAGGCUGUGUGCUGGGUGCUUCAAAGAUGUCCUCUUGUGGAUCAGCCCAUCUGUGGCGAGGAGGGGACCGGGCUCAGCCAGGUUAGGUGACUUGCACAAGGUCAUGUGGGUGAAAGGAAGGCAGAACUCUUGUGUAUUUCUCCUGACCCCAGAUUCUGCGUCAAGGCUGAAGCCAGAACCCACACGUGUCCAGCGCAGGGUGAUUGCUGCCAUGAGCUGCAUUGCUGUGAUCCUCUGGCGAGGGCGUGGAUUUUCAUCCUUUUAUUCAAUUUUGAAAGAAGCAAAUUUAGAAAGAUACGAUAUGAUGGGUGUGGCAGACAGAAUUCUAAAGGUGGGCCCACUGAUUCGUACCCCUGGCUGUUCAGUUAAACACUAGCCUAGGUGCUGCUGUGCAGGGACUUUGACGAAGGAAUGAAAGUCCCAAGCCAUCUGACCUUGAGAUCAGAGAUUAUCUGGUGGGCUUGACCUCAUGAGCCUAAUGAAAGCAGGGAGCUUUUCCAGCUGUCAGCAGAAAAGAAGGUCAAAUUCAAUGUGUGAGAAAGGCUGGAAUUAACAUUGCUGGUUUGAAGGAGGAAGGGGUUGUGUGAGAAGGUGUGUGAGUGACUUAUAGGAGCAGAGAGUGGCCCCCAGCCAUGGAAUGAGGACCCCAGGUCUGCAGGCACCAGGAGCUGGACUUUCAGGGCCACCUGAAUGCACCCAGAAGCGGAUUCUCCUCCAGAGCCUCCAGUUGCUAUAAUCAACAUCCCUGGACCCAUCGCGCAGAAGAAACUAAGGUUCCCAGGUUAAGAGACUUGCCUGGAAAAGGGUUAACUGACAGCUUGGCAGCAGAGCCACCGCUCCUUCCCCCUUGCAUGCUGGUUCCAAACCGAAAAUGAUGUUCUGGGCCUUGCACAGAGGAGUGCUUGGUGAACAUUUGGUGGAGGAUACGGAAACCCACGUGGAUUCCAGGUGCUGACUUUUGUGCCACUACAGAGUCUAGCGUACAUUAGGAAGACGAUGCCAACCACCACCAUCUAUUGACUUACUCAACGUUUACUGCACACCUACUGUGUGCAGGGGUCCUGGGGACCCCAUAGAUGAAAACAUAAGCACAUGAUCAAAUGGAAAGCUGGGCUUCGUCUAUUACAGUGGGUACCAUACAGUUUUACACUCGUGUACCUAAAACAACCUGGACAAGGCACGGGAUUGAUUUUCAAUUUUGUAAAACAGAGCAAAAGUGCUUUUACUGAUGUUUCUUUUCUUUUUCCUGAGAUCUUAUGUCCCUAGACAGAACUAUAAAGCGUUUUUAUAUUAAAGGUCUGUGCCUCAGACUUUAAAAAUAUCUGUAGAAUGUGUAGUAAAGUUAUCCAUUUCAUUUGUGAUAAUGGUCAUUUUUAUUUUCUCUUUUGUUCCUGAUCAAUCUAACUAUAAUUUAUAAAUUUAACAAUUUUCUCAAGAACGUUCUGUUUCAUUGAUGUUCUCUAUUAUUUUCUGUUCUCUGUUUCAUUGAUUUCAACUCUGAUUUUUAUUAUUUCUUUUCUUCUUUUUAUUUUAGGUUUCAUUUGGUCUUUUCUAGUUAAGGUGGAAGCUGAGGUCAAUAAUUUUCCUUUCUUCUUUUCCUUAAAAAAUUGUUGGCCAGGUGCGGUGGCUUAUGCCUGUAAUCCCAGCAC
This 2370-nucleotide long non-coding RNA is filed under the name Homo sapiens (human). Its description in RNAcentral is "HSALNT0318076". The record is from RNAcentral. Lineage: Eukaryota; Metazoa; Chordata; Mammalia; Primates; Hominidae.